This 84-nucleotide transfer RNA is filed under the name Echinostoma caproni. It matches the Rfam family "tRNA". Rfam says of the family: Transfer RNA (tRNA) molecules are approximately 80 nucleotides in length. The record is from Rfam by way of RNAcentral. Lineage: Eukaryota; Metazoa; Platyhelminthes; Trematoda; Plagiorchiida; Echinostomatidae.
GGUCUCGUAGCUCAGCUGGUAGAGCGCGCUCUGUUCAAAACCGUAGGCGGCGUCCAUGCGUGGGUUCGAAUCCCACCGAGGCUA